This 468-nucleotide ribosomal RNA is filed under the name uncultured bacterium. RNAcentral's name for it is "partial 16S ribosomal RNA". It matches the Rfam family "Bacterial small subunit ribosomal RNA", at positions 28 to 507 of the family's 1533-position model. The record is from RNAcentral.
GACGAACGCUGGCGGCGUGCUUAACACAUGCAAGUCGUACGGAAAGGCCCUGCGUUUGUUGGUUGCUCGAUUGCCGAGCGGGUGUGUAACACGUGAGUAACCUCUCCUUAACUUUGUGGUAACUUCUGGGAACUGGGGCUCAUACCCGAUAUAAGCUCCUGCUGCAUGGUGGUGGUUGGUAAGUUUCGGCGGUUGGGUCAUGACUCGCUGCUUAUCAGCUUGUUGGUGGGGUAGUUGCUUACCAAGGCUUUGACGGGUAGCCUGCCUGAGAGGGUGACCGGCCACAUUGGGACUGAGGUAAGGCGCAGAAUGGUACGGGAGGCAGAAGUGGGGAAUAUUGCACAAUGGGCGGAAGCCUGAUGCAGCAACGCCGGGUGCGGGAUGACGGCCUUCGGGUUAUAAACCGCUUUCGCAUGUGACGAAGCGUGAGUGACGGUAAUGGGUAAAGAAGCACCGGCUAACUACGUG